This 954-nucleotide long non-coding RNA is filed under the name Homo sapiens (human). Its description in RNAcentral is "long intergenic non-protein coding RNA 3076". The record is from RNAcentral. Lineage: Eukaryota; Metazoa; Chordata; Mammalia; Primates; Hominidae.
AGUCCUCUCCACCCCAAGGUAGGCAGCUUCCCGCUCCUCGUCUUGGGACCUAAACCCAGGAAGUCAAAUGUCCUUUUCUAGCAGGUCGCCUGGUUAGAGGCCGUGGACGAAGCGGUCCAGGCACAGCCAGCUGCAGGGCGCGGCCUCGGCGGCGCUGCUCGUGGCCCUGGUCAGUGAGCGCACUCACUCCUGGACUAAGCUCUAUGCAACUCAUUUUCAUCUAGCAUUACCUCUCCAAAACCUGAAUCUCCACAAGAAAGCCACACAGCAAUUAACCAGUGUUGCAAGAACUGCUUCUGUAAUAAAGGUGGGAAGACAAAUUGAUGCAACCCUCUUGAAAAGCAAUCUGGCAAUAUGAACCAAGAGCCAUGAAAAGGCUUAUGCUAUUAUAAUUAAAUGGCUGUAAUGUUGGCUGUAAAUAUGAAAUUUUCUUUCACACACCAAUGUUUUCAAGAAUGGCAUAUUCACAUGCAGUAUGUGACGGAGUCUUACUCUGUCGCCCAGGCAGGAGUGCAAUGGCACAAUCUUGGCUCACCACAACCUCCGCCUCCUGGGUUCAAGUGACUCUCCUGCCUGGCCAUAGAAGCAAACACAAACAUAGAGGAAUUGGCUUUGGGCAGAUGGAAGGACCUCAGAGAAAAGAAACAAAGGAAAGAAAACUGGAUGGAUAAAGGUUUGUAGAAAUACUAUUCACAGGAAGCAAAUAGGAAUUCCUUAUCGCUAAACAGACACUAAGUCAAUUGGUUAUUGCUGGUGAAAAGGAUGUUUAAGCAGAGUGAGAGACUCUCAGCAAAAAAAGGUAACUGAAAGAGUGGUAAGUCAGACAAAGAAGAAAAAUGCCAAAGAAGAGGGUCAAGAACAACUCAUAUGACUCCGAAAUCCCUUACCCACAUUGGAGUUAUAAAAAGUUCAGGAGCUGGAGACAAAAGGCAGGUUCAUAAAGAGGAUUCCUUG